RNAcentral lists this ribosomal RNA (253 nucleotides) under uncultured bacterium. RNAcentral's name for it is "partial 16S ribosomal RNA". It matches the Rfam family "Bacterial small subunit ribosomal RNA", at positions 524 to 776 of the family's 1533-position model. The record is from RNAcentral.
UACGGAGGGGGCUAGCGUUGUCCGAAGUUACUGGGCGUAAAGCGCGCGUAGGCGGGUUGGUAAGUCCGCUGUGAAAGCCCGGAGCUCAACUCCGGAGGGUCGGUGGAUACUGCCAGUCUUGAAGGUGCUAGGGGGAGAUGGAAUUACCGGUGUAGCGGUGAAAUGCGUAGAUAUCGGUAGGAACACCAGUGGCGAAGGCGGUCUCCUGGGGCAUACUUGACGCUGAGGCGCGAAAGCUGGGGGAGCGAACGGG